GGUUGAAGGUUGGGUAACACUAACUGGAGGACCGAACCGACUAAUGUUGAAAAAUUAGCGGAUGACUUGUGGCUGGGGGUGAAAGGCCAAUCAAACCGGGAGAUAGCUGGUUCUCCCCGAAAGCUAUUUAGGUAGCGCCUCGUGAACUCAUCUUCGGGGGUAGAGCACUGUUUCGGCUAGGGGGUCAUCCCGACUUACCAACCCGAUGCAAACUACGAAUACCGAAGAAUGUUAUCACGGGAGACACACGGCGGGUGCUAACGUCCGUCGUGAAGAGGGAAACAACCCAGACCGCCAGCUAAGGUCCCAAAGUCAUGGUUAAGUGGGAAACGAUGUGGGAAGGCCCAGACAGCCAGGAUGUUGGCUUAGAAGCAGCCAUCAUUUAAAGAAAGCGUAAUAGCUCACUGGUCGAGUCGGCCUGCGCGGAAGAUGUAACGGGGCUAAACCAUGCACCGAAGCUGCGGCAGCGACACUAUGUGUUGUUGGGUAGGGGAGCGUUCUGUAAGCCGUUGAAGGUGGCCUGUGAGGGUUGCUGGAGGUAUCAGAAGUGCGAAUGCUGACAUAAGUAACGAUAAUGCGGGUGAAAAACCCGCACGCCGGAAGACCAAGGGUUCCUGUCCAACGUUAAUCGGGGCAGGGUGAGUCGACCCCUAAGGCGAGGCCGAAAGGCGUAGUCGAUGGGAAACAGGUUAAUAUUCCUGUACUUGGUGUUACUGCGAAGGGGGGACGGAGAAGGCUAUGUUGGCCGGGCGACGGUUGUCCCGGUUUAAGCAUGUAGGCGGAUG
This 785-nucleotide ribosomal RNA is filed under the name Klebsiella oxytoca. RNAcentral's name for it is "partial 23S ribosomal RNA". It matches the Rfam family "Bacterial large subunit ribosomal RNA", at positions 743 to 1530 of the family's 2925-position model. The record is from RNAcentral. Lineage: Bacteria; Pseudomonadati; Pseudomonadota; Gammaproteobacteria; Enterobacterales; Enterobacteriaceae.